This 253-nucleotide ribosomal RNA is filed under the name uncultured bacterium. Its description in RNAcentral is "partial 16S ribosomal RNA". It matches the Rfam family "Bacterial small subunit ribosomal RNA", at positions 524 to 776 of the family's 1533-position model. The record is from RNAcentral.
UACAGAGGUCCCAAGCGUUGUUCGGAUUCAUUGGGCGUAAAGGGUGCGUAGGUGGCGUCGUAAGUCGGGUGUGAAAUCUUGGAGCUUAACUCCGAAACUGCAUUCGAUACUGCCGUGCUUGAGGACUGGAGAGGAGACUGGAAUUUACGGUGUAGCGGUGAAAUGCGUAGAUAUCGUAAGGAAGACCAGUGGCGAAGGCGGGUCUCUGGACAGUUCCUGACGCUGAGGCACGAAGGCCAGGGGAGCAAACGGG